This is a non-coding RNA of Labrus bergylta (ballan wrasse), 473 nucleotides long. The record is from RefSeq and is a predicted model, not a curated record. NCBI's taxonomy places the organism in Eukaryota, Metazoa, Chordata, Actinopteri, Labriformes, Labridae.
AACUUGGAUCACCGAGCAGCACCUGAAUGCAGCAACAGAGUGUCUUAAAAGACCACAUCCUCAUUUUAAGAAGAAGAAAGUUUAAUGUGACGACCUCACACCAGUGUGUCUCAUGGAUGUGAUGAGAGGAGCAGCUAUGAGUUUAACAGCAGCAGCGAGUGGAUUUGUCGUCUUCCUUCUCUCUGUGCCAGUGAUUCAGGGUCAGGCUGGCUGGAGAGUGACUUACUCCUCUACUGAAGUCUGUGCCUUAAGAGGAUCAACUGUAGGUGCACCUACAGCUACCCAUCUACUACUACAGUUCAGAAGUCCUUCUGGUUUACUAAAGUCCAGGAUGGAGAACCUGUAGAUCUGCAAACAGACUCACAGUACACAGGUCGUGUGACCUACAGCUCUACCUGGAAGGACUCCACUCUGACAAUCACAAAUGUGGGAAAUAGUGACUCAGCUGUUUACAAGUUCAGGUUCAUAACAAA